Long non-coding RNA from Anas platyrhynchos (mallard), 6419 nucleotides. RefSeq lists it as uncharacterized. The record is from RefSeq and is a predicted model, not a curated record. NCBI's taxonomy places the organism in Eukaryota, Metazoa, Chordata, Aves, Anseriformes, Anatidae.
CCAUCUUGGGGGCUGGGGGCAGGGAGGGGGCUGCGGGAUGAGGGGGGGAGAGGAGCGCGGGGGGACCCUGAGGUGAAAGUGGGGGAACUGCGCGCUGUGUGAGCUGAUGGGGCCACAGGGAACAGCCCCAGGGUGCGCCAGGGAGGCUCAGGCAGAGGUUAGGGUGUAACGUGUACAAGCAUCAUGAGCUCGAUGCAGACGUGUGAUACGUUGCUGUGCUCAUCCUCAUGGCGUUCCCGGCAGCUGCAGUUUGCAUUAAUCACCCACCCUGCGUUUGGAACCUCCAGUUAGAAGCUGAGUUGCACAAGAAGGGUAAGAGGUGCUGAACACCACUCGUUUGGGAAAUUGUUUUGCAAACAUGAUUCUCAAAAAUUUUUAUACCACUUCAAGAAAGGAAUUUUGUUUAAACAUAAAAGUGAAAGGCUUACUAAUGACUGGAUAGGUGACUUUUGUGAGAGCGGACAAUCUUUACAUCUUGAAGAAGUAUUAGAAUUUUCAAAUAAUUAAAAUGUAACAAGUAUAAUUCUCUAACCGUGGGGCCAUUGAGUUGCUGCAGUUGCACGUGUCUCUGCAGGUAUAACUAAUUAAUCUGAGAGCCCCUUGAGCAGGUGUCCCUGAGGAGCAGCAGAACGCUCCAUGCAUAGGGAGCAUUUGUAGUGCAGGGCAGAGGGAUGGAGUUGGGCGGGUUGCACCACCUCAGACACUAGGUGGGGACAAAUAAGAACCCUAAAGGAAAAAAAUGCCACAUGUGGAUUAGGGAACCUUCCUGAGCCUUUCUUUAAAGUGAUUUGGAAAGGCUUCUCUCACAUCCAGCCUGCUUCCCAAAUCACUUGUAAUGGCAACAUUGCGUAAUGUGUGAGGUAGCUUCACAGUCCACCUCCAGAGCAUUUGGUAUUGCAAGUCUGAAACUUUUCAGAACAUACUGAUCCAAAUUUGAUGGAAAUCACAUCUGUUGCUCUUGGGGAAACUUCAGCUAGUUUAAGAUAAAAUACACAAAGCUUGAAUUUGGCAAUUAGUAUGGGAAACAAUGCAAGAGACUCAUUUACAUUUUAAGAGAUUGGUGAAUCACGACCCCCUCAAAAAAAAAAACACAACACCAAGCAAUAAAUAGCAGCAGCAACAACAACAGAACAACACUGCAGAUUGACUUUGUACAGGAAAAUAUUUUUAUUAGUGAAUUAUUUUUAAUUGCACUGUCACUUGAUGCUAAUCAGUGGUUCAUUAACAGUUCAAAGUAUCAAUUUAAGCCAGGUUAAAAGGCAAAUAAUUUGACUAAACAAGACAAGCUGUGGUGCACUUCCUCGUAUCUAUAAACCAAUACUGGAGGCUAUCAUAGCACACUUAAUGGUGCUAUUUCUUAGAGUAACUAAUUUGGAAACCAUCAGAAGGGCAAGGCUGUGCUGCAUACCCAUCUCCCUAACUAAUCUUAUAACUAGUGCAAAAAAGUUACAAGUUAGGUGUUAGAAAGAAGGAGAAUGCCAGUGUCCCCAUUUCAAGUUCCGUCUGAGGUCCUAUGUAAAUUGUGCAUGAUGUGCAUUAGUCCAUUUUUAUAAAUAGAUAUGUAUAGAUUUUCUUUAAGUUAGCUGUCAAGUGAUUUUAGGAAAACGAAUGUAGCAGAUCGUUUAGGGUUGAAACCAGUGCAUGCUGCAGCCAUCUUCUAGCACUUCUACCUCUGCUGCGCCUAUGUCUGAGAGGUUUCACUGCUGUCAGCACGGUUUAUCAUCAUAACUUAGUCUAACUCCGAUUUGCAGUUAACUGGGGCAUGGGAUCUGAAUUAAGAAUAAACUUCACUGUUAAAAAUUAUACACAGCAGCACAGUUUAUUUUUAUAUUUUUAACCAGUUUUAAAAGCAAACAAGUGUCAGCAACAUACAGGUUUUCCUACAGAGCUCUUUGGUUUACAGCACUAGUCUUAUCUGACAUUCAAAUUUCUCUUCAGAAGUGCAGAAACAGUUCAUUACAGUUGCAUGCAGCCCAUAUGAUGACUAGGCUUGUCUGCUUUAACAGUAAGACUGAAAAUUAACAUUAAAAAAGCAGCAAAUGGUAAAGUCUUUGUGCCCUGUACCAAUUUUUAAUGCUUCUUAAUCAUCUCUUAAGCAAGACCCGCUUUCAACCUGACAAAUUUUGACAAUCUGCUAGCAUUGCAAAGCAGUCAAGUAGUUACAAGCAGGAUAAAAAAUAAGCCUUGCUAACAAGGGGCUGCCAGACAGGUCCCAACUCCAGCCCUACAAGCCUAAACACAGAAGGUAGACAUUGAACCAAAGGGAGGCUCGUACGUGUUACGGUAACAACACAACUGCAUCAUUUUCAAGGCAACCAAGAGACUUCCUCAUUUACAUCGGACCUUACAUCUAAAAUUUUCAGCUGUGAAUAGUGACUUUGCUCUUCGGUUCCAGAAUAAGAUAGCUUAAAGAGACUUAAUGUUCAGGUUUUGGAAACUGGACCCUUUUAAGUGUUCUCAACUACACACAGGAAUUAAGACUUCCAAAAUGAAGUAACAUUAACAUUGUGCACUGUUUUUACGCUUAUCGACAUCACUAACCGGAAAUACCCAAACCCAGAACACUUUAAAUGUGAGCAGAACCAACACUUUGAAUAGAGGUACCUCAUCAGUGAUGUUAUAAGAGAUGGCACAAGACUGGACUGUAGAAGAACCAAAGGGAUUGAAGGCUGUCCUUUUUGAGCUACAAUAAUUUGUCAUGACCCUUGGCAUAAAAGCGGUUUGAUCAAUUUCCUCUAAAACUUCAUGCAAGUGUUCCUUGCCUCAGGGCUAAAUACAUGAAAUUGCAGCCCAUGCCACUUUUUUUUUUUUUAGGGAAAAAUAAAUUCAUGGAGCUAAAUUAGAUCUUCAUAGAAGUUAGUUGCAAUUUUGACUCCCUUUCAGACAUCCAAACAAGCUACUACAGGAUCAACUCAAAACAACGUGCUGGAUGUGCAAUUUUAAGGCACAAAUGAGUGUUAAAGCAUGAGAACGUGACUUUAUUCUACCUUCAGAGGGAAAGGGCUUGCAUUACUGGAUAGGAAAGGGGUAUAGAGCAGUUUGACUAAUACAGGACAACAAAACUGGUUUUGCUGGGAAAGGCAAGCUGCGUAUCAAAGUGCCUUAUUCAAUACUAAAUGAUUCUUCUCAUGCUUCAACAGAACUAAACUCCCAUCUCUGUGCCACCGUCCUCAUCUGGACCUUGAAAUGUAAGGGAUGGGCUUCUGAGAUCAGGGACAGUCACAGGUAGGAGCACCCAAGUUCUGUAGUCUUCAGUUGCUAGUACACAACAGUGCUGAAGUCCUUUCUUUGUAGAUGAUGUUCCACUACUUUUUACAGUCAUCUUCUACAUGUGUGAGCAAAAGAAAAGACUUUCAGAUUAAAAUGGGUUAGAUUUGCUCAGGGUAAGAUUUGUUUUAGGUAAGGUGCAGCGUACUGGUUUUUUAAUUUUAUACCACUCCAGACUUAAUGAAACGUGAAGCACACAAGGGCAGUUUGGCAGCUCUGCAGUGCUGUGAGGAGAUCUUCCUGAGUCCAACCUCAUGCCCAUUGUUUUUUCACUGUUCCUAAAGGAUGGGGUUUGCUUGUUUUCUUGAUUUUAAGCAAUCAUUUUCGUUGUACUAUCACAAAUAACAUUGAAUCUGUCCACAGUUCAGGGAUGCAUUUUAUACAGUAAUGUUACUGCAUUAAUAAAAGCUUACUCGAGUAGUAGCCUUACCACUUGGGGGGUAGGUAAUAGCCAGAUGAGCUUGUGUUUUCUGGUUAUUCUUCCAGUGCUUUUUCCUCACCUUCAACAGUUAAGACAUGCUCACAGACAAAUAAAAAGCCUUAAACCACUGCAACAGUUCGAGUCCCUGUUUAAUUCUGUUGGCUGUUACUUACUUUUAAAAUAGCUUCACUGUGGAAUGACAGGAAGCUCAAAUAGGCUGGUUCUGGAUUAGCUGAGCACACUUGAGAAAGCGAGUUUUAUAUAUAGCGUCUAUUUCAAGCCAUGAAGUACAGUCAUUUGCUUUGUAGAACGUGAUCCAAACCCAUGGAAUAAACCUAGUUUCAGGGUUUUUGUGCAGUCCCUAGACUUGGGUGUUUUAGGGAACCAGAAGGGGCAGAAGUGUAAAAGCCAGGAGAGUGGGGCUGGUCUUGGUUCAACAAGUUUGAGAGCUGAUGUCUGAUGAACCCUGGCCAGUUACUAGAGACAGUAUGAAAUGGCACAACAGCUGGAAUGAACAAAAGACUGUAAAGUGGAAAUAUGUUAGUUUGUGCCCAUUUUAGACAUCAGAGACCUUUAUAAUUAAUAGGACUUCAGGGGUGUUAAUCAAUGAAGUACACAUCAGCAUACCCAGAUCAAAAACUUUAACGGCCCCUACUUAACAGGAAAGAAAGCAUGCCCAGAAAGGGGAAACUAACUGUAGAUAAGAGUCAUUCAGGAUUAGAAUAAAACUGACUUACUAAAUGCUUUUUUUCUUCUGGAGGAACUUUCACUCAAAUUUACAACAUACUUGUUAAGAAAUAUUGGCUGAGACUUGUUCCUCUCCUCCUUUUGUUUGCCUCGCUCACGUUCUCCAUGCUUACCUCUCUCCUCUUUGUUUUCUUCUCUUUGGUUAUUACGGGGAAAGUUUAUUAAAUGAAGCGAGUCAUGCAGCAUCCUUUGGAAAUACCUAGAUUUAAUGUUACGCUUAGCUCUGGUCUUAGGUCAUUCAGAAUAGAUGAAAAGUCUCCGUUAUACAUUCCUCUUCUACAUUUAUGGAACAAUGUCCUGGAAAUGUUUAGCCACAGGAAGCAGCUGCCUUUCUUUGUUUCAACACCCGUCAGUACAGACAUUUAAUUUGUUAACUACUUUCACGGGAGUAAAACAGUAAUCUUGAGCUAGUGCUGGAGAAUUGACAAGAAGCAGUGAUGUAGCCUGUGCAAUGGUUGUGUUACCACCUCUGGGCUGCUGAGAGGAGCGGAAUAUUGUAAUCCGCGUAACUUGGGGGUGAUAGAGGCACUGAGUGCUACAGCACUCCCACCUCAGGAGGAAGAAAUACAUCCUCUCAGGCAUGACUCUUCAUUCAAGUAGUAACAGAUGAACUUGAAUGCCAAGAAACAUCCAUCCUUUUAGUGAAACGGACUUAGCAAAGUGGAUCUGCUUAUCUGUUGAUAAGUAAAUCUGUCUUUUGGCUAAGGGCUUGAAGUUGAACAUUUUCCCUCUACUUCAGGAGAACAUCCAAGCGUAAGUGUACCCUCAGCCAUGUAAAUACCUGUCACUAUGGCAUUUUGCAGGGUCAAGUCCCACAUGCCUCGUUCGUUAGGCUGCAUCAUUCCCAGACUAAUCAAAAAUACGUAGAAGAAAAUUGAUCUAUCACAUGAAUGAUUUGAGCAUGCACAGGACUGUUACUACCACUUCACAUGUUUACAUUUGGUUGUUGAGUGGUAGAGUUUUCAAAACAUGGUGAAAAUUAAUGCCUCUAAAUUCUUUCCCUCUGUAAAAUGUAUUUUUAUAAUAUAACAUUUACCUCAAGUUUCCACUUAUGGAAAUUACAAAUGAAUGUUUUACAGAACUACAGCUGUAAAGGAAGGGAACAAGUUAUUACUUGUCUAUGCAGCAAGUCAGUGCCCAUGCUAAGAAUAAUAAAAAACAAAAACAGGAGCAGCACCUCAUGGUCCCUGAUCAAUUUCUUCCUAGUUUUACUUAUAUAGGGAAACACUUAAAAACAAAAAAAAAACCAAAAAAAAACCAAAAAAAAACAAGGAGGCUGACAUAAAUAAAUGCUUCAAGAAGAGGAACAGAGAGAGCGGUUCUUUGAGAAAUUCUAGUGUUUAUGUUAUUAACAAGUUAUUUUCUCACAUUAAAGGAUCCAAACCAUCGAUGCGUUCAUCCAGGUUUCAGAAGAAUCCUAGAAGUUUAAACAAGUGCACUGAAAAAGUUUGUUUGUAAACAUUUAUUUUCUUGAACUGAAAAAGGCUUGCAUCAGCACACAUUGUACAGCCUUGCAAAUUACACAAAUUGAAAAAAAAAAUGUUUGUUUCAUUUUUAUGUGCAAUUAAUCUUUAAUGUCCAGUGAGCAUCUGCAAAUGAUGAAAACUUAAACCAUUAAAAAGGUUUCCAGCACUUAUCAAAUACAAUUAUCUUAGCGUGAAAAGGAAGAGAAAGAGAUUCAUACUGGUGGGAACACAAUUAAAGUGCAAACAUUUUGUCACUUGUGAAGACAAUUUAGUUUCUUCACCUUUUUGCUAAAAAGAAAUAUUAAAAUGUGAUUCAGUGAACAUUCUUUGUAAUCUAUUCAUAUUCCCCCUUAAAUACUUAUUAAACUUGUUGGAUCAGAAGCAAAUCCUUCAAGGUUACAACCAACUUCUGAUUUCUUUUGACAUUGCUUGAAUGAAUCUCAAAAGAAAACCACCAUCUAAGGAGUUAGCUAGUUACUAAAAUUAUAUUUUUUUCCUUUAAAAAAAAAACAACAAAA